GAUGAACGCUGGCGGCGUGCCUAAUACAUGCAAGUCGAGCGAACAGACGAGGAUCUUGCUCCUCUUUCGUUAGCGGCGGACGGGGGAGUAACACGUGGAUCACCUACCUAUAAGACUGAAAUAACUUCUAGACACCGGAGCUAGUACCGGAUAAUAUAUUGAACCGCAUGGUUCAAUAGUGAAUGACGGUUUUGCUGUCACUUGUAGAUGGAUCCGCGCCGCCUUAGCUAGUUGGUAAGGGAACGGCUUACCAAGACAACGGUGCGUAGCCGACGUGAGGGGGUGAUCGGGCACAGUGGAACUGGGACACGGUCCAGACUCCUACGGGAGGCAGCAGUAGGGAAUCUUCCGCAAUGGGCGAAAGCCUGACGGAGCAACGCCGCGUGAGUGAUGAAGGUCUUCGGAUCGUAGAACUCUGUUAUUAGGGAAGAACAAAUGUGUAAGUAACUAUGCACGUCUUGACGGUACCUAAUCAGAAAGCCACGGCUAACUACGUG
RNAcentral lists this ribosomal RNA (497 nucleotides) under uncultured bacterium. RNAcentral describes it as "partial 16S ribosomal RNA". It matches the Rfam family "Bacterial small subunit ribosomal RNA", at positions 28 to 507 of the family's 1533-position model. The record is from RNAcentral.